This 253-nucleotide ribosomal RNA is filed under the name uncultured bacterium. RNAcentral's name for it is "partial 16S ribosomal RNA". It matches the Rfam family "Bacterial small subunit ribosomal RNA", at positions 524 to 776 of the family's 1533-position model. The record is from RNAcentral.
UACGUAGGGUGCGAGCGUUAAUCGGAAUUACUGGGCGUAAAGCGUGCGUAGGCGGUUUGCCGUGUCCUGUGUGGAAGCCCCGGGCUCAACCCGGGAACUGCGUCCGAGACUGAAAGGCUUGAAUCCGGGAGAGGGAUGUGGAAUUCCAGGUGUAGCGGUGAAAUGCGUAGAUAUCUGGAGGAACAUCGGUGGCGAGGGCGGCAUCCUGGACCGGUAUUGACGCUGAGGUGCGAAAGCCAGGGGAGCAAACGGG